RNAcentral lists this ribosomal RNA (703 nucleotides) under Desulfatiferula sp. enrichment culture clone CIBANICRA-SRB50. RNAcentral's name for it is "bacterial SSU rRNA". It matches the Rfam family "Bacterial small subunit ribosomal RNA", at positions 341 to 1030 of the family's 1533-position model. The record is from RNAcentral. Lineage: Bacteria; Pseudomonadati; Thermodesulfobacteriota; Desulfobacteria; Desulfobacterales; Desulfobacteraceae.
ACGGGAGGCAGCAGUGAGGAAUUUUGCGCAAUGGGGGCAACCCUGACGCAGCAACGCCGCGUGAGUGAAGAAGGCCUUCGGGUCGUAAAACUCUGUCAGCAGGGAAGAAGUUAUGGGAUGUUAAUACGCUUUCGUAUUGACGGUACCUGCAAAGGAAGCACCGGCUAACUCCGUGCCAGCAGCCGCGGUAAUACGGAGGGUGCAAGCGUUAUUCGGAAUUAUUGGGCGUAAAGGGCGCGUAGGCGGCCUGCCAGGUCAGAUGUGAAAGCCCGGGGCUUAACUCCGGAAGUGCAUUUGAUACUGGUAGGCUUGAGUAUGGGAGAGGAAAGCGGAAUUCCUGGUGUAGAGGUGAAAUUCGUAAAUAUCAGGAGGAACACCGGUGGCGAAGGCGGCUUUCUGGACCAAUACUGACGCUGAGGCGCGAAGGCGUGGGUAGCAAACAGGAUUAGAUACCCUGGUAGUCCACGCAGUAAACGUUGAUCACUAGGUGUAGCGGGUAUUGACCCCUGCUGUGCCGCAGCUAACGCAUUAAGUGAACCCGCCUGGGAAGUACGAUCGCGAGAUUAAAACUCAAAGGAAUUGACGGGGGCCCCCCACAAGCGGUGGAACAUGUUGUUUUAUUCGACCCCACGCGAAGAACCUUACCUGGGUUUGAAAUCUCGGGAAUCUUUAAGAAAGUAGAGAGUGCCCUUCGGGGAGCCCC